UCUCUGACACUUCCCCAUUACGCAAGUCCCCAGGAGGCUGGGCAGUGUCACCUGCUGGGUCACCCCCAGGGCCUGGGUGUUGUGAGCAGCAGCUGGGACCUGCCUGGUGGGGGGAGAGAGGCUGGAUGUGGAGAAGAAGAGCUGACUCUUGGGUUUCAGUGUUGUUUCUUUGAUGGUAUGUCUCUUGGGCCGUGGUGUCCACAGCCAGGGAGAAGAGAGGGAGAAAUCACAGCAUCCUGCUGCAAAUGUCUCAGUGGUGCUCCUGCGGGCUGCCUCCCUUUGCCUCACCUGCCCCAGUCCUGAGGACUUCCGAGGUGUUCCUCAGCCCUGUGAAGUCGAACUGGUAGAGCCUCCAGGUGCGCUGGUCAGAGACCUCGAUGG
Pyrgilauda ruficollis (rufous-necked snowfinch) is the source of this 381-nucleotide long non-coding RNA. RefSeq lists it as uncharacterized. The transcript has 3 exons. Lineage: Eukaryota; Metazoa; Chordata; Aves; Passeriformes; Passeridae. The record is from RefSeq and is a predicted model, not a curated record.